RNAcentral lists this ribosomal RNA (572 nucleotides) under Lactobacillus gasseri. RNAcentral's name for it is "bacterial SSU rRNA". It matches the Rfam family "Bacterial small subunit ribosomal RNA", at positions 388 to 951 of the family's 1533-position model. Lineage: Bacteria; Bacillati; Bacillota; Bacilli; Lactobacillales; Lactobacillaceae. The record is from RNAcentral.
GGAGCAACGCCGCGUGAGUGAGGAAGGGUUUCGGCUCGUAAAGCUCUGUUGGUAGUGAAGAAAGAUAGAGGUAGUAACUGGCCUUUAUUUGACGGUAAUUACUUAGAAAGUCACGGCUAACUACGUGCCAGCAGCCGCGGUAAUACGUAGGUGGCAAGCGUUGUCCGGAUUUAUUGGGCGUAAAGCGAGUGCAGGCGGUUCAAUAAGUCUGAUGUGAAAGCCUUCGGCUCAACCGGAGAAUUGCGUCAGAAACUGUUGAACUUGAGUGCAGAAGAGGAGAGUGGAACUCCAUGUGUAGCGGUGGAAUGCGUAGAUAUAUGGAAGAACACCAGUGGCGAAGGCGGCUCUCUGGUCUGCAACUGACGCUGAGGCUCGAAAGCAUGGGUAGCGAACAGGAUUAGAUACCCUGGUAGUCCAUGCCGUAAACGAUGAGUGCUAAGUGUUGGGAGGUUUCCGCCUCUCAGUGCUGCAGCUAACGCAUUAAGCACUCCGCCUGGGGAGUACGACCGCAAGGUUGAAACUCAAAGGAAUUGACGGGGGCCCGCACAAGCGGUGGAGCAUGUGGUUUAAUC